AAAAUAGUUUCAUAUGAGGUGUGUAUAUAGUAUGGGACGUCCUGAAUAAGAACUGGUGGUUGUUUUUUUCUACUUAUUAGAAAUGGGGUCUUUAUACCCCUCUAAAGUGUAAUAAUGUCCCAUAUCUCAAAAAUGCUGCAGUAAAAUAGUUUCAUAUGAGGUGUGCGUAUAGUAUGGGACGUCCUGAAUAAGAACUGAUCAUUGUUUUUUUCUACUUAUUAGAAAUGGGGUCUUUAUACCCCUUUAAAG
Molecule: long non-coding RNA, 249 nt
Organism: Labeo rohita (rohu)
Lineage: Eukaryota; Metazoa; Chordata; Actinopteri; Cypriniformes; Cyprinidae
Exons: 3
Source: RefSeq, a predicted model, not a curated record